RNAcentral lists this ribosomal RNA (668 nucleotides) under Bacillus sp. RZ3MS14. Its description in RNAcentral is "bacterial SSU rRNA". It matches the Rfam family "Bacterial small subunit ribosomal RNA", at positions 56 to 706 of the family's 1533-position model. The record is from RNAcentral. Lineage: Bacteria; Bacillati; Bacillota; Bacilli; Caryophanales; Bacillaceae.
UGCAGUCGAGCGAUGGAUUAAGAGCUUGCUCUUAUGAAGUUAGCGGCGGACSGSUGAGUAACACGUGGGUAACCUGCCCAUAAGACUGGGAUAACUCCGGGAAACCGGGGCUAAUACCGGAUAACAUUUUGMACUGCAUGGUKCGAAAUUGAAAGGCGGCUUCGGCUGUCACUUAUGGAUGGACCCGCGUCGCAUUAGCUAGUUGGUGAGGUAACGGCUCACCAAGGCAACGAUGCGUAGCCGACCUGAGAGGGUGAUCGGCCACACUGGGACUGAGACACGGCCCAGACUCCUACGGGAGGCAGCAGUAGGGAAUCUUCCGCAAUGGACGAAAGUCUGACGGAGCAACGCCGCGUGAGUGAUGAAGGCUUUCGGGUCGUAAAACUCUGUUGUUAGGGAAGAACAAGUGCUAGUUGAAUAAGCUGGCACCUUGACGGUACCUAACCAGAAAGCCACGGCUAACUACGUGCCAGCAGCCGCGGUAAUACGUAGGUGGCAAGCGUUAUCCGGAAUUAUUGGGCGUAAAGCGCGCGCAGGUGGUUUCUUAAGUCUGAUGUGAAAGCCCACGGCUCAACCGUGGAGGGUCAUUGGAAACUGGGAGACUUGAGUGCAGAAGAGGAAAGUGGAAUUCCAUGUGUAGCGGUGAAAUGCGUAGAGAUAUGGAGGAA